GGCGGACGGGUGAGUAAUGCCUAGGAAUCUGCCUGGUAGUGGGGGACAACGUUUCGAAAGGAACGCUAAUACCGCAUACGUCCUACGGGAGAAAGCAGGGGACCUUCGGGCCUUGCGCUAUCAGAUGAGCCUAGGUCGGAUUAGCUAGUUGGUGGGGUAAAGGCCUACCAAGGCGACGAUCCGUAACUGGUCUGAGAGGAUGAUCAGUCACACUGGAACUGAGACACGGUCCAGACUCCUACGGGAGGCAGCAGUGGGGAAUAUUGGACAAUGGGCGAAAGCCUGAUCCAGCCAUGCCGCGUGUGUGAAGAAGGUCUUCGGAUUGUAAAGCACUUUAAGUUGGGAGGAAGGGCAGUAAGUUAAUACCUUGCUGUUUUGACGUUACCAACAGAAUAAGCACCGGCUAACUUCGUGCCAGCAGCCGCGGUAAUACGAAGGGUGCAAGCGUUAAUCGGAAUUACUGGGCGUAAAGCGCGCGUAGGUGGUUUGG
Molecule: ribosomal RNA, 490 nt
Filed under: Pseudomonas sp. ERR550
Lineage: Bacteria; Pseudomonadati; Pseudomonadota; Gammaproteobacteria; Pseudomonadales; Pseudomonadaceae
Description: bacterial SSU rRNA
Rfam family: Bacterial small subunit ribosomal RNA
Source: RNAcentral